This 407-nucleotide ribosomal RNA is filed under the name uncultured bacterium. RNAcentral's name for it is "partial 16S ribosomal RNA". It matches the Rfam family "Bacterial small subunit ribosomal RNA", at positions 30 to 526 of the family's 1533-position model. The record is from RNAcentral.
AUUGAACGCUGGCGGCAGGCCUAACACAUGCAAGUCGAGCGGAUCGGCGGUCGGGUGCGUAAUGCCUAUGAAUCUGCCUCGUCGUGGGGGAUAACGUUCGGUAACGGGCGCUGAUACCGCAUCCUCUCGGAUGAGCCUAUGUCGGGUUGGCUAGUGGGUGGGGUAAAGGCCUACCAAGGCGACGAUCCGUACCUGGUCUGAGAGGAUGAUCAGUCACACUGGAACUGAGACACGGUCCAGACUCCUACGGGAGGCAGCAGUGGGGAAUAUUGGACAAUGGGCGAAAGCCUGAUGCAGCCAUGCCGCGUGUGUGAAGAAGGUCUUCGGAUUGUAAAGCACUUUAAGUUGGGAGGCGUUACCAACAGAAUAAGCACCGGCUAACUUCGUGCCAGCAGCCGCGGUAAUUC